UAGGUGGACGCUCGCUGGUUUGAGCGCUUAACUGUUAAUUAAGAUCUUGUAGGAUCGAGGCCUUCCCAUCUAG
RNAcentral lists this transfer RNA (73 nucleotides) under Rasbora borneensis. RNAcentral describes it as "tRNA-Asn". It matches the Rfam family "tRNA". From Rfam's summary of the family: Transfer RNA (tRNA) molecules are approximately 80 nucleotides in length. Their secondary structure includes four short double-helical elements and three loops (D, anti-codon, and T loops). The record is from RNAcentral. Lineage: Eukaryota; Metazoa; Chordata; Actinopteri; Cypriniformes; Danionidae.